This 235-nucleotide unclassified non-coding RNA is filed under the name Hevea brasiliensis (rubber tree). The record is from RNAcentral. Lineage: Eukaryota; Viridiplantae; Streptophyta; Magnoliopsida; Malpighiales; Euphorbiaceae.
GACGAAGUCAUGGCUUGUCUGAAGGAAUUCGUGACCCGCGAGAAGAUCAGCGCGGCGCAGAUCAGCGCCAUCGCGGGACAUCUCGGCGAGGCGCAUGUGCGCCCCACCCUCGAAGUCAUCCUCACCGAAAGCCCGGCGCACCUUCGCAAGCGGCACGAUCCCGAAUCGGGGCUUGAAGAAGGUCAGGCUGCGAUCGCCGGCUCGUCGCGGACCGCGACUUCAACCACCGGCGGUU